This 992-nucleotide ribosomal RNA is filed under the name bacterium NTN17. Its description in RNAcentral is "partial 16S ribosomal RNA". The stretch from base 1 to 834 matches the Rfam family "Bacterial small subunit ribosomal RNA", at positions 73 to 873 of the family's 1533-position model. The record is from RNAcentral.
UGAGGCAUUCGNCCCCUGGGUAUNUAGGCGGCAGGGGUGAGUAACACGUGGGUAACCUGCCUGUAAGACUGGGAUAACUCCGGGAAACCGGGGCUAAUACCGGAUGGUUAGUUUAGAACCGCAUAGGUUCAACACAUAAAAGGUGGCUUCGCGCUACCACUUACAGAUAGGACCCGCGGCGCAUAAGCUAGUUGGUGAGGUAACGGCUCACCAAGGCAACGAUGCGUAGCCGACCUGAGAGGGUGAUCGGCCACACUGGGACUAGAGACACGGCCCAGACUCCUACGGGAGGCAGCAGUAGGGAAUCUUCCGCAAUGGACGAAAGUCUGACGGAGCAACGCCGCGUGAGUGAUGAAGGUUUUCGGAUCGUAAAGCUCUGUUGUUAGGGAAGAACAAGUACCGUUCGAAUAGGGCGGUACCUUGACGGUACCUAACCAGAAAGCCACGGCUAACUACGUGCCAGCAGCCGCGGUAAUACGUAGGUGGCAAGCGUUGUCCGGAAUUAUUGGGCGUAAAGGGCUCGCAGGCGGUUUCUUAAGUCUGAUGUGAAAGCCCCCGGCUCAACCGGGGAGGGUCAUUGGAAACUGGGGAACUUGAGUGCNAAGAGGAGAGUGGAAUCACCGUGUACGGUGAAAUGCGUAAGAUAGUGGAGGACACCCAGUGGGCGAAAAGGCGACUCUUCUGGUCUGUAACCUGACCGCUGAGGAGCGAAAGCGUGGGGGAGACGAACAGGAUUAAAAUCACCUGGUUANUCCACACCUAUCAAACNAAAAGUGAUUAAGUGUUAGGGGGUUUCCUGCCCCUUAAUGUUGUNUAAUNCAUAAACACCCCGCGGGGNUAUACGCNGNAAAUUAAAUCAAGGAAAUGUAGGGGCCCACAGNGUGUAGUUUUGAUUUUUAAUNANUAAAAUUACGGCUUAAUUCUCACAUAAGAGUCUCCUUGGUGNGAUNGGAGUAUUGUUUUAUAAAUAUAUNNANCCAUCAUUAUCUNNC